This 508-nucleotide ribosomal RNA is filed under the name uncultured bacterium. RNAcentral's name for it is "partial 16S ribosomal RNA". It matches the Rfam family "Bacterial small subunit ribosomal RNA", at positions 28 to 507 of the family's 1533-position model. The record is from RNAcentral.
GACGAACGCUGGCGGCGUGCCUAAUACAUGCAAGUCGAACGCUUCUUUCCUCCCGAGUGCUUGCACUCAAUUGGAAAGAGGAGUGGCGGACGGGUGAGUAACACGUGGGUAACCUACCCAUCAGAGGGGGAUAACACUUGGAAACAGGUGCUAAUACCGCAUAACAGUUUAUGCCGCAUGGCAUAAGAGUGAAAGGCGCUUUCGGGUGUCGCUGAUGGAUGGACCCGCGGUGCAUUAGCUAGUUGGUGAGGUAACGGCUCACCAAGGCCACGAUGCAUAGCCGACCUGAGAGGGUGAUCGGCCACACUGGGACUGAGACACGGCCCAGACUCCUACGGGAGGCAGCAGUAGGGAAUCUUCGGCAAUGGAUGAAAGUCUGACCGAGCAACGCCGCGUGAGUGAAGAAGGUUUUCGGAUCGUAAAACUCUGUUGUUAGAGAAGAACAAGGACGUUAGUAACUGAACGUCCCCUGGCGGUAUCUAACCAGAAAGCCACGGCUAACUACGUG